This 1489-nucleotide long non-coding RNA is filed under the name Sorghum bicolor (sorghum). RNAcentral describes it as "long non-coding RNA (SBIC_LNC005245)". Lineage: Eukaryota; Viridiplantae; Streptophyta; Magnoliopsida; Poales; Poaceae. The record is from RNAcentral.
AAAUUUUUUUAAGCUAAUGGCCAAGACCAAGUCAAUUUAUGAUUAUAGGUUGAGUAAAAAUCUAAGAUGGACUGAAAUUUUGCCUUUUUAUUAUUAGAAUGCAUUGCAGCGAAAAAAGUAAUUCUAACAACCAUAAUAAAAUCAUAAAUUAUCAAAAAACCUUUUAUUAACAAUACAAAGGCUAUAAUCUUGAAUAAACUUGUCAUGGGUCCAUAAGAUAGACUUUUAGUAAGAGACAAAUACUAACUGCAGCAGAUCUAGACGCCCUCGUCCUUGCUACAAAUUUAUAGUCACUAAAGCUUACAAUGAAAGGAUAAAUAUACAAAAUAAGGAAAAUAUGUCUCUCCUAGCAUAUAUUUAUAGUUCCGCCACUGAGCACUAACUUAAACUAAAGCUUGUUCAUAAUAUGUCUAUUCAAAUAAUGCAUCACUUUUAAAAAACAAACUCUAAAUCAAAUUUUUCAUAAAGAAAAGUUUUAUUGGAGUAAAGCAUCGGAACCUUGGCCAAGACUCAAAAAUUAUUACUGCACGUUUUGUUUUGUUAUUAUUAUGAAUCUUAAACUUUAAAGAUUUUUUGACACAUAUUCAGACAAUCACCUUCCCCAGCCACACAUGCAUCCCAUGCACCGCCGCCGAAGCUCCUCCUACCAGCGACGGGAAAAAAGAAAAAUAGGCAAAAAGAAAAAAGAGCAACGACGCGGCCUUCUCCAUCCUCGCCUUGCAGCCUCCGCCUGCGGGCCUUAAUCCCGCACGCCUCAGCUGCGCGCUAUCGCCGUGCCGCAGCACCUGUCCUGUGCGCACCCGCCGCCCAUACUCGCUUCCGGCCCUCCGCCCGCGGCCCUGCUCCUGCGCACCGCCGUCGUGACCUUCGAGGACGCUGCAGCGCCUGAUCAGCCACCGCCGCCGUCCGCCUGGUGCGGCCCUGCUCCUGCACGCCCGGACUGCACCGUCGCUAUCGUCCCCUUCGAGGAUGCUGCAGUGCCCGUCCAGCCACCGGCGGCAGCGGCGACGAUUCUGCUACCGACGUUUCUUCGGAUCACAGCACAGGCGGAUCUCUUCCAGCCCGCCCGCGACCCUACUCCUGCGUGUCCGGAUGAGGAGGGGAGGUAGUCUGAUUUGGAUUUCCAUUGAUACGAGACGUGAGCGAGUUGAAGCCGGUCCAGGAAGAGAGCAGACGAAAAGUAGUCGAAAUUUUGCCUCAAAACAUUUUAUAUCUAUGUCCCGGUAUUUUUUCUUAUUUUUAACGUGUUCUAAUAUGUAAAAAAAUUUUUGCAUUGGGAAUCCUAGAAAAGCUUCUAUUUUUUUCUUCUUCCCUAGCGAGGCGGACGGACGGAUUCUACGAUGGGCGGACAGAAACGCGGGACGGAGUCGGACCGAGACGGAAGGAGGCAGACAGAAAAAGUUUUUGGGCAGACUGAAAUUUUUACAAUUUAAUAGUAGGUAUAGAUAUAGAUAUAGAUAUAUAUUUUUUUGUCGAACUUUAAAUCAUU